This 508-nucleotide ribosomal RNA is filed under the name uncultured bacterium. RNAcentral describes it as "partial 16S ribosomal RNA". It matches the Rfam family "Bacterial small subunit ribosomal RNA", at positions 29 to 523 of the family's 1533-position model. The record is from RNAcentral.
AAUGAACGCUGGCGGCAUGCCUUACACAUGCAAGUCGAACGGCAGCGGGGGAGAAGCUUGCUUUUCCUGCCGGCGAGUGGCGAACGGGUGAGUAAUACAUCGGAACGUGCCCUGUAGUGGGGGAUAACUAGUCGAAAGAUUAGCUAAUACCGCAUACGACCUGAGGGUGAAAGUGGGGGACCGGAAGGCCUCAUGCCAUCGGAGCGGCCGAUGUCUGAUUAGCUAGUUGGUGGGGUAAAGGCCUACCAAGGCGACGAUCAGUAGCUGGUCUGAGAGGACGAUCAGCCACACUGGGACUGAGACACGGCCCAGACUCCUACGGGAGGCAGCAGUGGGGAAUUUUGGACAAUGGGCGAAAGCCUGAUCCAGCAAUGCCGCGUGUGUGAAGAAGGCCUUCGGGUUGUAAAGCACUUUUGUCCGGAAAGAAAUGGCUCUGGUUAAUACCUGGGGUCGAUGACGGUACCGGAAGAAUAAGGACCGGCUAACUACGUGCCAGCCGCCGCAGUAA